Molecule: long non-coding RNA, 4389 nt
Filed under: Mus musculus (house mouse)
Lineage: Eukaryota; Metazoa; Chordata; Mammalia; Rodentia; Muridae
Description: long non-coding RNA chr7:121039137-121043526
Source: RNAcentral
ACUAUGAAUAGGAGGGUACCUUUCACUGUGUGGAUUGUUAUUGAAAUCUAAGGUUUAUGCUGCUGAAUGCUGUACAGAAAACCUGGAUAUAGAAAUUAUGGAAGGAUACAGGUUUAUUUACAAGUUUUGGCCAGUACUGGAGAGAGGGAAAUUCUCCAUCUUGUCUUGCCAAGUGUUGUAAUUUAUAGAAAAGCUGCACCAAAAACCAUGGGAUCUAUAAGUGUAUUGAAUAUGGGCCUAAAUGACCAGAAUUGUGCUAAGUCUUUCUCCAGGUGCCCGGGCUAGGGCUCUGGGGCUAGCUCCCCUCACUCAUUGUUGAUCUAUCUUGGAGGAAUUCUAAUUCCCAAGGCUCCAUCACACAUUUCAAGGAAAGAGACACUGACCUGCUACCGUUUUCUAGAAAAAUGGUAAAUGGGUUGUGGUUUCUGAGCUUUCUUUAGGUAAAAAACAAACAACCAAGCAUAACCAUGACAGCCAUAAGUUUUGAAACUGAUUGGAUUGCAAUGUGGAAUCUGGGAAGGGAAAUUUUAACUUUAAAGAUUAUUAGUUCAUGAGCUCUUUCUAACCACGUCUCUAAUUGAAAAGACUGUUAUUAAAUUUAUGGGUCCUCCCUGCCUCCCUUUUUGAGAAUGACUUGGGUGCCCAGACUGGUAGUGUAGCCUGCCUGCCUGCCUGCCUUCCUUCCUUCUUUCCUUUCUUUUUUGGCAGUUUUUAUGGUUUUAUUUAAACACAAAACAUGCACACAGGCCAUCUAUUCAUUUUCUUCGCUGCAUAACCUGGCGUUGGGAUUGGUGACUCUGAUGGCCAGCUGUGCUGCUCUUUCUACAAUGGCUUCUCGGUUCUUAGAGGUCACGUUGUGAGCAAUCUCAGCACAGUAAGAUUUGUUGCACAUCAGCAGCACCUCCAGCUCCUUGGCAUUGUGGAGCAGGAACCUGGUUUUCUUGUUGCUCCCGUAUCCAAUGCUGGGCACCAGGAUCUGGCCCUUGAAUCUUGUCUGCACCCUGUUGUCAGUGCCUCUGGGUUUCUGCCAGUUACACUUAAUUUUCACAUAUGGGUCUGACUGGUACCUGAUGAACUUUUAGGUCCUCUUUUUGAUGAUCUUGGGCUUCACCAGAGGCUAGAGGGCAGCCAUGAGGCCUUUUAUAAAAGUCAGACCCAUGAUAGUAAAGAAACUGGGAGGUGGGGCUGCGUGUCUCAGGCCUUGAGUGACAUUGCAGAGUGUCUUCCAAUCACCAGCUAGUGAGCAGAGCCAACUGGGAAUGGAAGAGAUACCUCUGCUAGGCUUGUUCUCCCUCCUGUUUCCGAAGCUGGCAGAGUACUAGCUACUCUCCAGUAGUGCAGUCUUUCCUUGAACUGUUUCUGUUUUGUUUUUCAGAUCAGUCAGCCUUUUCCUCAUGGCAUAUGAACAGUUAUUAGGUUUUUAUUGUGCACCUGGUACCUUUAAGUUAUGCUUUUUCAUCCUUAUAACAGCUCUUCUGCAUAGGUGGUGCCACUUCCACCUUACAGAUUGAAGAUUGAGGCUGCAAGAGACUUGUAAAGAGCAGAGUCGGUUGUUGGGUAGAGUUGGGUUUGAAUCCAGCUUUGUCUCAGUCAAAGGCCCAGGCAUUUUCCAUUACUUCAUGUAGCUCUGUCUCGAAACCAUAUGUUCUCUGAAGGCUGUGUGAAAGUGGGCUUGCCUUCUUAAUAGAAAACCGCACCCACUGCAUUGGGCCUCCGUGAAGAUACUAAAAUUAGGGUAGUGUAUAUAAACUAGUUGAUGAUUUGUGGCUUGUGGUUAGACAGUGGUAGGACCACCACUUGAUGUUCUGUCUUUAUUCAGUCUGACCAUACUUUGGUAAAGCUUAAAGCAACAUGACAGGGGCAGGGCUUAAGUCACAGGUCUUAGGGCUUAGUCCCACCAGACUGCCAUUUACUUCAGAGGCCAGAUGCAAGUUCCAGGUCCCCAGACUGCCAUCACCUUUCCUCAGCUUGGCUGAAUGUUCAGAGGUUCCUGCAGUCCUUCCCCCUAGGUUGCAUAAUUUACUGUAAUGAUUCCCAGGUUAGGCAUAAUGGAUUGAAUUAUUGGCCAUGGAUGGUCAAUCUCAAGCUUUAGUAUUUUUUCUGUUCUUGGGGACAUAGGAUAGGGCAGAAAGUUCCAGCUUUCUACUUAUAACUUUUCUUCUUUCCCACUUUGGAAAUUACCUUAUCUACAAACAAAAAAACAUUCAUCUUAAUUUGAAAAAGAUUUCUUUUUAUUUUAUGUGUAUGAGUAUCUUGAAUACAUGCAUGUCUGGACACUAUGUGCAUGCCUAGUUUCCAAGGAGGCCAGAAGAGGGCAUUGGAUGCCCUGAACUGGUUGUGAGCCACCUUGUAGGUUCUCUGGAAGUACAGUAAGUGCUCUUAACACCAGAGCCUUCUCUCUGAUCCCCUAAAGACAUUCUUAUCACCUCAAAGGUUUCCCAGAAGUUUUAGGAGCUCUGUAUCAGAAAUGUGGGGGUAAAGACCAAAUACCUAUUAUGUCAUACUAUGUAAAGUCAGUAAGCUGUGCUUUACAGUUUUCAAGUUCUACUGUUGUGCUCAACUCUGUUGUAUUUGUAUUUUGAAAGAAAAGACUAUCCAUUGUAUAACAUAUGUUUGACUGGUGGUGAAGCUGUAAAAAAAUGUUAGAGAAAGUUACCUAUGUCCCUUAGCCGUUGGCAGUCAGCUGUGGUUUCAUAGAAGAGUUGCAUUUCUUUUACUGUAAAAGUGACUCGUUAACCAAAGUUACAUAAACGUUAAGAAAUGUUCAUGUAUCUGGUAAAGUUUUACUUUGUGUGUGUGUGCAUGAGAGUAUUUUGUGUAUGCAUUCAGUGUGCAGGUGCACAGUUGUGGAGGCCAAAGGAGGAAAUUGGGCACACUCUUCUAUCACUGUCUCAUUUUCUUGAGACAGACAGGGUCUCUCACUAAACCACAAGCCAAUGAUUUUGGCUAGGCUGCCUGGCCAGCAAGCUUCCAGAAUCCACUUGGUUCCACCCUCUGACACAGGGGCUGUGGUCUCAUACAGACAUGCCUGGCUUUUUAUGUGUGUGCUCGGAAUGUCAACUCAGGUUCUUAUGUUUACACAGCAAAUGCUCUUACCCACUGAGCCACUCUGCAGCCUGUGAAGAAGUUUUGACAGACCUCCCAUUACCUUGACUUAGUAACAUUGUCAGAGCUACUGCCAUGCUGCUGUCACCCACCCCUGUUGGCUCUUUACUAUUUGUCUAGUUAUUACUGUCCUUGGAGACUUGUGCAAAUAACUACAAAUAUUUUAGUUACUAUAGUUUUAAAAGAUAUUUAUUACAGCCUACUGUGCUUAGCAUCGGUAGGUUGGUUGGAUUUCAAAGUUUACUUGGUUAGUAAGUUCAUAGAUCUUUAAAGGAGAAUGAUAGUGAAAUCAUUAAAUUGCUUUUUUUAGACACUGUUGUCUCCAGCUGAAGAGUUGAACCCUAUGUGGAGCUGGUGCAUAGCUCUAAGGGCUCUUCAAACAGGAAAUUUAGUAAGUGUAGUAUUUUGUUCUUGCCCAGUGCACCUUUGUCUCUAUAGCCUUUGAGGACCAUUUAUUGAAAGAACUUCCCUGCUGGAAAGUGAGUCUAUAGGCAGCUUACCUGGUGCUGUCAGCUCUGAAGAGCUUUCAUUUAAGCCUGGCUGUCUGCAGAGCAGUGACUGCAGGGGGACACCAACCGUGUGCAGCAGCUUCUGCGUUGAUUGUUUCUUGGCCUUUGGAGCAAGAUUUGCUUAUUGAGGCUCUACAGGUUGCAACCCAGAUCAUAGUCUUAUUUUCCCUUCUGAAGUUCAAAUUCCCUGAGACCAGUGAAUCACUCCUUUAAUAUAAUCAGUAGCAGUCUCAGACCAGAGUUAAGCCAAGAUAGUUAGGAAACACUACUGGCCAAAUCCAGUUCUCAUAUAGGUUCUCAGGCAGUAGCAGUUGCUUGAUCGCUGGGGACAUUUGUGCACUUUUGAUGGUGCUACCAGCAUCUGAUGUGUAAAGGUAAUUGAUGACAAAGGAUUGUCAGCCCCAAGUGUCAGGUCCAAGAUUGAGAAACCCUGGUCCGUGGGAAACCAUUGUCCAGAUUGGAUUAUUUUUCCUCAAACUUGUCUAGACCUGUUUCAUUGGAGAAUAGCCCUACUUUGUUUUCAAGCAGUACUGGAUAGAGUGAAGCAAGAACCUUCUAAAAGAUGUUGGCAUACAGUUGCAGGAAUGGACUCUAGAGCCAGCUUAAGGUACUCAGAUUCGGAUGACCUCCUGUUAAAAGGAGAGUAGUUUUAACCCACGUGAAGUGUCUCAUGCCUGUGCUUCUAGUACUUGGGAGGCUGAAGCAGGAUGAUCACCUGAGCUAAAUAGUGAGCUUCAAAACAAACUAGCCUGUGCUACAGGGCAAAGACCCUGUC